GAUGAACGCUAGCGACAGGCUUAACACAUGCAAGUCGAGGGGCAGCACGGGAGUAGCAAUACAACUGGUGGCGACCGGCGCACGGGUGAGUAACGCGUAUGCAACCUACCUAUCAGAGGGGAAUAACCCGGCGAAAGUCGGACUAAUACCGCAUAAGACAGGGGCACCGCAUGGUGCUAUUUGUUAAAGAAAUUCGCUGAUAGAUGGGCAUGCGUUCCAUUAGGUAGUUGGUGAGGUAACGGCUCACCAAGCCGACGAUGGAUAGGGGAACUGAGAGGUUAGUCCCCCACACUGGUACUGAGACACGAACCAGACUCCUACGGGAGGCAGCAGUGAGGAAUAUUGGUCAAUGGGCGAGAGCCUGAACCAGCCAAGUCGCGUGAAGGAAGAAGGAUCUAUGGUUCGUAAACUUCUUUUGCAGGGGAAUAAAGUGCAGGACGUGUCCUGUUUUGUAUGUACCCUGAGAAUAAGGAUCGGCUAACUCCGUGCCAGCCGCCGCGGUAA
This 504-nucleotide ribosomal RNA is filed under the name uncultured bacterium. RNAcentral describes it as "partial 16S ribosomal RNA". It matches the Rfam family "Bacterial small subunit ribosomal RNA", at positions 28 to 523 of the family's 1533-position model. The record is from RNAcentral.